This 274-nucleotide ribosomal RNA is filed under the name uncultured bacterium. Its description in RNAcentral is "partial 16S ribosomal RNA". It matches the Rfam family "Bacterial small subunit ribosomal RNA", at positions 523 to 796 of the family's 1533-position model. The record is from RNAcentral.
AUACGAAGGGAGCUAGCGUUGUUCGGAAUUACUGGGCGUAAAGCGCACGUAGGCGGACUUGUUAGUCAGGGGUGAAAUCCCGGGGCCCAACCUCGGAACUGCCUUUGAUACUGCAAGUCUGGAGUCCGGAAGAGGUGGGUGGAAUUCCUAGUGUAGAGGUGAAAUUCGUAGAUAUUAGGAAGAACGCCGGUGGCGAAGGCGGCCCACUGGUCCGGUACUGCCGCUGAGGUGCGAAAGCGUGGGGAGCAAACAGGAUUAGAUACCCCAGUAGUCC